RNAcentral lists this small RNA (598 nucleotides) under Pan troglodytes (chimpanzee). RNAcentral's name for it is "processed transcript". The record is from RNAcentral. Lineage: Eukaryota; Metazoa; Chordata; Mammalia; Primates; Hominidae.
CCCUUCUCUUCUGAAUUCUCCAUUCCGGGCUCUUGCCUGUGAAAUCUUUCUUUGCUUUCCCCAUCUUUUCCUCGCAUUUUUUCACCAUCUUUCCCUCAAUCUCCAGGAGCCAAUGCGAGACUUUGGCUCCGAUUAAGCGACGGCCCGAGACUCGGGGUGCGCGAGGAGGAUCGACAGAGUGGUGAUGGAGAGCACCCCUUCAAGGGGACUGAACCGAGUACACCUACAAUGCAGGAAUCUGCAGGAAUUCUUAGGGGGCCUGAGCCCUGGGGUAUUGGACCGAUUGUAUGGGCACCCUGCCACAUGUCUGGCUGUCUUCAGGGAGCUCCCAUCCUUGGCUAAGAACUGGGUGAUGCGGAUGCUCUUUCUGGAGCAGCCUUUGCCACAGGCUGCUGUAGCUCUGUGGGUAAAGAAGGAAUUCAGCAAGGCUCAGGAGGAAAGUACAGGGCUGCUGAGCGGCCUCCGGAUCUGGCACACCCAGCUGCUCCCAGGCGGGCUCCAGGGCCUCAUCCUCAACCCCAUUUUCCGCCAGAACCUCCGCAUUGCCCUUCUGGGUGGUACAGGGAUUACAGGUGUGAGCCACUGCGCCUGGCCAGGG